RNAcentral lists this ribosomal RNA (253 nucleotides) under uncultured bacterium. RNAcentral describes it as "partial 16S ribosomal RNA". It matches the Rfam family "Bacterial small subunit ribosomal RNA", at positions 524 to 776 of the family's 1533-position model. The record is from RNAcentral.
UACGUAGGGUGCAAGCGUUAUUCGGAAUUACUGGGCGUAAAGCGUGCGUAGGCUGUUUGGUAAGUCUGAUGUGAAAGCCCUCGACUCAAUCGAGGAUGUGCAUCAGAUACUGCUAAACUAGAGUACAGGAGAGGUGAGUGGAAUUCCCGGUGUAGAGGUGAAAUUCGUAGAUAUCGGGAGGAACAACGGAAGCGAAGGCGACUCACUGGACUGUUACUGACGCUGAAGCACGAAAGCGUGGGGAGCGAACGGG